Molecule: ribosomal RNA, 332 nt
Filed under: uncultured bacterium
Lineage: Bacteria
Description: bacterial SSU rRNA
Rfam family: Bacterial small subunit ribosomal RNA
Source: RNAcentral
AACGAACGCUGGCGGCGUGGAUUAGGCAUGCAAGUCGUACGCGAAAGAGGGGGUAACUCCUCGAGUAGAGUGGCGAACGGGUGAGUAACGCGUGAGGAACCUGCCUUCAACAGGGGGAGUAACACUCCCAACGGGGUGGCUAAUACCGCAUGAGACCACGGGAUCGCAUGGUCCUGAGGUCAAAGGUGGCCUCUACUUGUAAGCUACCGGUUGAAGAUGGCCUCGCGUCCCAUUAGCUAGUUGGCGGUGUAAAAGACCACCAAGGCGACGAUGGGUAGCUGGUCUGAGAGGAUGGUCAGCCACACUGGGACUGAGAUACGGCCCAGACCUCG